RNAcentral lists this ribosomal RNA (393 nucleotides) under uncultured bacterium. Its description in RNAcentral is "partial 16S ribosomal RNA". It matches the Rfam family "Bacterial small subunit ribosomal RNA", at positions 523 to 918 of the family's 1533-position model. The record is from RNAcentral.
AUACGGAGGGUGCAAGCGUUGUCCGGAUUUAUUGGGUUUAAAGGGUGCGCAGGUGGUUUAUUAAGUCAGUGGUGAAAGACGGUCGCUCAACGAUUGCAGUGCCAUUGAAACUGGUAGACUUGAGUAAAGUAGAGGUGGGCGGAAUUGAUAGUGUAGCGGUGAAAUGCAUAGAUAUUAUCAAGAACUCCAAUUGCGUAGGCAGCUCACUUGGCUUUUACUGACACUCAUGCACGAAAGUGUGGGUAUCAAACAGGAUUAGAUACCCUGGUAGUCCACACUGUAAACGAUGAUAACUAGGUGUCGGCCGGAUCUGGUCGGUGCCACAGCGAAAUCAUUAAGUUAUCCACCUGGGGAUUACGUUCGCAAGAAUGAAACUCAAAGGAAUUGACGGGG